AUGAAGGUGCGGAUCUCGUUCCCCUUAGCUCUUGCAGAUUGUGGUUGUGGGGAUCCUGGGGGUGUUAUCUCCGUCCCCGAGCGCCGGGCCGGAGGCGUCGUUGCUGUCCCCAAGCGAGCACGCCGCGCAUCGUCUUCAACCUCGAUAGCCACAACCCCACUUCAGCAUCGCAUUGUUCCACCUGCAGGUCCCCCCUCUCCGUUUUCCUUUUUCUGUCUUUGUACGACUGAACCAAUGUACUUUAAGGUAUUUCUUAACAGUGACAAAUGGUAUAUAUUGGCUGCUAUUGAAAUGAGAUAUUAG
This 303-nucleotide ribosomal RNA is filed under the name Triticum aestivum (bread wheat). Its description in RNAcentral is "partial small subunit ribosomal RNA". Lineage: Eukaryota; Viridiplantae; Streptophyta; Magnoliopsida; Poales; Poaceae. The record is from RNAcentral.